CCCUCCCCUAAAUCACUCCAAAAAAACAAUCCCCAAUUCUACACAAGUGUUUCUACACUAACAAAGCAACAGCUCCUUAACGAAUUCCCAACUUUACACGAGCUCGUCUCUCGAGGUUAAAUGUUAUUACUUGUAAGAUUCCGGACCUCGCCAAGUGUUUUGAAAACCCGCAACGCUCGCAAAGGUGCAUAGUGAGAAUAAUAAGUGAAGAGACAGACUUGUCCAAAACGCCCACCACGAAGGUGCAUAGUGAGAAGAGUAAGUCAAGAGAUAGACUUGUCCAAAAAGAAACGGAAGAGAAAGCUUGGGGAGACGCUCACGAAGGUGCAUAGUGAGAAGAGUAAGUCAAGAGAUAGACUUGUUCAAAAAGAAACAGAAGAGAAUGCUUGGGGUUACACUCACGAAGGUGCAUAGUGAGAAGAGUAAGUCAAGAGACAGACUUGUUCAAAAAGAAACAAAAGAGAAUGCUUGGGGAGAUAGAAGUGUGAGAUAGUUCUCAAGCUAAGAAAGUUGUAAAAGCUAAGAACUAGCAAGUAAUCGUCCAGGAUUCCUCCACCAGGACUUGAAAUCGUCGAGGGAAAAAAAUCGGUUCCGAGGAAUCGUCGAUCCGGACUUGGAAUCGUCGAGAAAAGUUUACCGGGUCCGAGGAUUUGUCGACCAGGAGUGGAAAUCGUCGAGAAAAAUCUAUCGGGUCCGAGGAAUCGUCGACCAGGACGAGGAAUCGUCGACAGGGUCCGAGGAUUUGUCGACCAGGGGUUGAAAUCGUCGACCAGGUCCGAGACUUCAUCGAC
Molecule: unclassified non-coding RNA, 791 nt
Filed under: Arabidopsis thaliana (thale cress)
Lineage: Eukaryota; Viridiplantae; Streptophyta; Magnoliopsida; Brassicales; Brassicaceae
Description: 3' external transcribed spacer
Source: RNAcentral